Molecule: microRNA precursor, 80 nt
Filed under: Medicago truncatula (barrel medic)
Lineage: Eukaryota; Viridiplantae; Streptophyta; Magnoliopsida; Fabales; Fabaceae
Description: MIR5269 microRNA precursor family
Rfam family: MIR5269 microRNA precursor family
Source: Rfam by way of RNAcentral
UUGGGUGAAAUCAAUGUGGUUAUCAUACAUUGGAAAUGGAUCCUACACAAAGUGGUGAGAUCCACAUAAGUUUCACCCAA